Molecule: long non-coding RNA, 944 nt
Filed under: Ornithorhynchus anatinus (platypus)
Lineage: Eukaryota; Metazoa; Chordata; Mammalia; Monotremata; Ornithorhynchidae
Description: lncRNA (ENSOANG00000049993.1)
Source: RNAcentral
GGCUCCUCCCCCUCGCCCGGCCCCGGGCGGGCUGAGCCCCGGGAGUGCUCGGCUUGGCCCGCUCUUUCUCCUUCUCUGCUCCUUCCCCUGCCCUUCCUCCUCCUCUGCUCCUUCCCCUGCUCUUCCUCCUCCUCUGCUCCUUCCCCUGCUCUUCCUCCUCCCCUGCUCCCCCUCCUCCUUCCCUGCUCUUCCCCCUCCUCCUUCCCUGCUCUUCCCCCUCCUCCUCCCCUGCUCUUCCCCCUCCUCUGCUCCUUCCCCUACUCUUCCUCCUCCUCCCCUGCUCUUCGUCCUCUGCUCCUCCUCCCCUGCUCUUCCCCCUCCUCUGCUCCUUCCCCUACUCUUCCUCCUCCUCCCCUGCUCUUCGUCCUCUGCUCCUCCUCCCCUGCUCUUCCUCCUCCUCUGCUCCUUCCCCAGCUCUUCCUCCUCCCCUGCUCGUCCUCCUCCUCCCCUGCUCGUCCUCCCCCUCUGCUCCUUCCCCAGCUCUUCCUCCUCCCCUGCUCGUCCUCCCCCUCCCCUGCUCUUCCUCCCCCUCCCCUGCUCUUCCUCCCCCUCUGCUCCUUCCCCAGCUCUUCCUCCUCCCCUCCUCCUUCUCUGCUCCUCCCCCUCCCCCGCUCCUCCUCCUCCCCCUCCCCCCCUCCGGCUCCCCCAUCCCCGUGCCCCUCCGUGCCACCUCCCUAAAAGGGGCAGGAGCGGGGGGCAUCGGGGCAUCUGCCGGGAUUGAGCAUGCUAAGAAGCCCGGCCCGCCGCGGGCCGCCCGCCCCUCGCCCCAACGCUUAGAGCGGCCCAGCCCGGAGGAGCGGGCGGAGGGAGGACCAGCCGGGGCACCAGUCGGGGCACCAGCCGGGGCACCAGCCGGGGCACCGAGCCCGGGCACCGAACCCGGCCCCCGCCCGAUCGACGUAAGGCUAAUUUGGAAACAUUUCUGCAGCCCAUGGAAGAGCUAA